GUCUGUGUGUGUGUGUGUGUGUGUCUCUGUAUGUAUGUGUCUGUGUCAUACAGACACAUACAUACAGAGACCCCCACAGACACAUAC
This 87-nucleotide microRNA precursor is filed under the name Pelobates cultripes (western spadefoot toad). Lineage: Eukaryota; Metazoa; Chordata; Amphibia; Anura; Pelobatidae. The record is from RNAcentral.